This 1985-nucleotide long non-coding RNA is filed under the name Lynx pardinus (Iberian lynx). Lineage: Eukaryota; Metazoa; Chordata; Mammalia; Carnivora; Felidae. The record is from RNAcentral.
AUGGGUAAACCAUGUUCAUGUGUUUACAAGCAGCUGUGUGGCUUUCAGCUGGUGACUUUGUGUGCGUUCAGACUGGCUGCAUCUGUUUGUGAAGUGAGAAGAGUGAUUCUGAGCAGGCAUAUGCUUGUGUGUGGGUCUCUGUGUGAGUAGUUUAUGUUUCCCUGGAUUUACAUCUCCCUAAACAGCACAGUUGCUGGUGUGAACUUUGCCAUUCAUAAGAAAAAUCCUAUCUCAAAGCUUCAUGAUGUGUGUCUGUAGGUCAAAGUAUAUAGAAAUGUAAAAUUUAAAUAUGGUUAAAAUCCUGAAAAAAAUCCUAUUACUAGCCAGGAAAAUAUCCACAGGAUUCUGAAAGGCAAAUAUGUUUUCAGAAUCAAUAUGAUGCUGUGAAUCAUGACUUUGGUUCAGGAUAGACCUCAACUCUGAGGAGCCUGUUUCAUUGCCCUCAGUGCACUCGGAUCAAUCCUCAUUAAAGAGAAACAUGCUUAAUGGUAUCUAAUUGGCCUCUGAGAAAGGGAAGCUGGUGGAAGUGAUGAAUUAUGGAGGGGUUGGCACAGCUUGUGGGGAUGGGGGCCACCCCAAUCCCUAGUACCUUCUCUCACACCUCUACUUCCUGAGGAAGACACAAAAUUUCUAUGCUAGGCUGUCAUCAGUAAUAACUUCAAUCCUUUCUCCUGAUCCUCCUCGUGUGGGGCCCAUACCGGUUUCGAGAUCCCACAGUCAUUGCUCUGUCAUACUUCACCAUUAAGGGAAAAGGCACUAAACAAAAGAGAAGGCAAAUGGUGAUGGAUAAUGAGCAGCUUCCCCCCAAGAUGUUGGGGCCAAGCCUCACUCUCACAUGCUCUCUUUCUCAAAUAUCAAAAAACAUUAAAACAAAAAAAGAAACCUAUCCCUCCUCUUGGCAAAAGUUACUGAUAACACAGUUUAUGUGUUAGUUGCAAUACAGAUCAUACUCAACCCAUUGGCAUGCAUAGUAAUGGACAGUCACAUUACCCUAGAUUUCCUGCUGGCUGGUCAUUGGGGCAUCUGUGCCAUUGCUAACACUUUUUGUGCUUGGAACAAUAAAGUAAGGUAGGCAGAACAGGCUAUGAAGUGCCUUAAGGAAGAAGCUAUUUGCUAUAAGUUUGAUCUGCGUGGUUUAUGGGAUUGGUUCUCUUGGCCUGGGUUGGGCAGUUGGAGUUCUGGCAUUGGAGUGCCUAACAUGGACUCUUAAUUGUUCUUGUUUGUUUCUUUGUUUGUUUCAUUGUGGUCAUGAUGCCGGUCCAUUGCAUUCUAUCUGGAGUCUUAAAUGCUUUCAUAUAAAUGUUCUCUCAUCAGAUGAUUGCCAUGAUGACAACUAAAUGGUCAAGAAUAUCUUCCAAGGCAGGUGACUCUGAAGAUGGCUGACAGUGUCCAGCAGCAAAGCAUGGGAUCUCAGGUUUUCUCUGAAUGGGCCAAUCUCUCAAAAGUGAGAUCAUAACCAAAAUGGGGGACUGAUAAUGAAAGAUACAAAUGGACAGUGGCCUGGCCAAAUAUAAAAAUAGGACUCUGACAUGAGGUCUGUAGCAACCAGCCCAGGAAAUCAACCUAUUGUCUACAGUUUCGUCAUAUUACCUAGAAGUCAGACGUGUAGAUGUCAGACCGCUCUCUCGAGCAAACAGCCCUGGAAGCUAAAUAAUAACCUCUGUAAUGAUUGGCCCCAGAUGGCCAGGACUUGAUUGUAACUGGGAGUACCCCUGAAUUUGUCCCUAUUGCAACUUAAAACCAGCAGAUAAAACCACAGAUGCACCCCUAACAAUGAUAUGGGAUGCCCUUCUUCUAGAACACUUACCACAGCUUCCUUAUGCCAGUAGUCUCCUGUGUCACUGAAACCUCGUCUUCUGUCUCUACUAGGUUUCCCUACUCUUCUUUCCAUCUCUGAGUCUGCCCAAAUGCAAGGGAUAGUGGCUGACUCCCUUGCUCUAGCAAAUUUUGAAGAAAUCAUCUUUAUGUAUUAUCAUCUGUCUCAU